Peromyscus maniculatus bairdii (prairie deer mouse) is the source of this 871-nucleotide non-coding RNA. Lineage: Eukaryota; Metazoa; Chordata; Mammalia; Rodentia; Cricetidae. The record is from RefSeq and is a predicted model, not a curated record.
AAGCCUGUAUACAGAAAAUUAAACAAAACACCACAGUCAGUUCUGUGUACUUUCCAUCACACUCAUUCAUUUGUUCCCUCUAUGACACGGUUUCCAUUCUGUUCUUCCGUUGAUAUAUGUCUCCGCGUUGAUCUCCUCCUCCUCUUCCAUUUCUCCUUCUGAGAAAUGUUGCCUCCAUGUAUCCCCAGGCUGUUCUUGAGCUCACAACAGCCUUCCUGCCUCAGCCUCCCAGGGGGUUCAAAAGAAAGAAAAGGAAGAAAAAGAAACCAAAUCACCGAACAGGCAGAACAUCUCUAAGGGGUUUGUUAUGGGGAGUCAGUUUAUGCAACUACGGAGGCUAAGAAGUCCCAUAAUUUGCCAUCUGCAAACUAGAGACCCAGGACAGCCAGUGUUUGACUUCAACACAAACCCAAAGGCUGGAACACUAAAGGCAUCAAUUAUGGUCUGCGUGCUGAGAAGAGCUAUCCAACUAUAAAAUUGGCAAAUGUUUCCCCUUGGGCAAGAUAAAUGAGUUUGCUCUGCUAUGAACUCAUCAGAUGACAAGAAUAGAGAGUUCAAGUCCACACGAAGAGUCACACAGUAAUCAAACACUUUGACACACAACCCAUCUCAACUGUGACGUUCAUCACGUCUGUAACCACAGCUCAGCCCAUUGCCUUGGAGCACACAGAGGACGGUCGCAGGAGAUUCUGCACACAGAAGCUGGGGGUCCCUAAGCCGUGUUCCGGUCCCCUGUACUCACCACCACCACAAAGCAGUGACAAAGAGCAGAGGGUAAGCUAUGGUGGAGGAUUUGAGGGAUGCGAUGGUUUGAAUUAUGAUCCCCCACCCCACCCCCUCAAAAAAACCAGUAUGUUUCUGAGCUGUGAUC